This 495-nucleotide ribosomal RNA is filed under the name uncultured bacterium. Its description in RNAcentral is "partial 16S ribosomal RNA". It matches the Rfam family "Bacterial small subunit ribosomal RNA", at positions 28 to 505 of the family's 1533-position model. The record is from RNAcentral.
GAUGAACGCUGGCGGCGUGCCUAAUACAUGCAAGUCGAGCGAACAGACGAGGAGCUUGCUCCUCUGACGUUAGCGGCGGACGGGUGAGUAACACGUGGAUAACCUACCUAUAAGACUGGGAUAACUUCGGGAAACCGGAGCUAAUACCGGAUAAUAUAUUGAACCGCAUGGUUCAAUAGUGAAAGACGGUUUUGCUGUCACUUAUAGAUGGAUCCGCGCCGCAUUAGCUAGUUGGUAAGGUAACGGCUUACCAAGGCAACGAUGCGUAGCCGACCUGAGAGGGUGAUCGGCCACACUGGAACUGAGACACGGUCCAGACUCCUACGGGAGGCAGCAGUAGGGAAUCUUCCGCAAUGGGCGAAAGCCUGACGGAGCAACGCCGCGUGAGGGAUGAAGGUCUUCGGAUCGUAAAACUCUGUUAUUAGGGAAGAACAAAUGUGUAAGUAACUAUGCACGUCUUGACGGUACCGAAUCAGAAAGCCACGGCUAACUACG